This is a long non-coding RNA of Acinonyx jubatus (cheetah), 1787 nucleotides long. RefSeq lists it as uncharacterized. The transcript is spliced from 2 exons. Lineage: Eukaryota; Metazoa; Chordata; Mammalia; Carnivora; Felidae. The record is from RefSeq and is a predicted model, not a curated record.
UAAACAUAAUAUAUAUUAUAUAUAUAUAUUUUUUCUUUAUCCAUUCAUCUGUCAGUGGACACUUAGGUUGUUUCCUUAUCUUGAUUAUUCUGAAUAAUGCUGCAAUGAGCAUAGAAGAGGAGAUAUCUCUUCAAGACACUGAUUUCAUUUCCUUCAGAUAUAUACACACAAGUGAGAUGCCUGGAUUGUCUGAUAGUUCCAUUUUUUUUGGCUUUUUGAGGAGCCUCCAUUCUGUUCUCCACAGUGGUUGCACCAAUUUACAAUCCCAUCACCAGUGCAGAAGGGUUCCCUCUUCUCCACAUCCUCCCAGCAUUUGUUAUCUCUUGUCUUUUUGACAAGAGCCAUUCUGACAGGUGUGAGGUGAUCUUUUGUUUUCUUUGAGGUCCAGUGAUGUUACUAGAAUAUAUCUUGGUGUUGACUUUCCUGGGUCCUUUUUUCUUGGUGUGAUACACUUUGUUAGAAAAGGUAGAUUUAAAUAGUUUUUUCACCAAAGUUUUCUUAGACUAAGUUUGAAGUAUGAUUUCCAUUCCACUAUUUUAUUUUUAUUUUUUUCAUCAGGCUCUUUAAUUACAUAUAUGUUGGAUCUCCAUUGUCUGUCUUGUGGAUCCUUCCAUCUUUUCUAAUCCUUUCUAACUAUUUUCAUUUCAGUUUGUUCAUGUUUCUCAUGUCUAUAUUCUGUCUGGCUUAUUAUGUUUUCUCCUUGAGUACUUUCUCUUUUUUUUAAUGUUUUCAUUUAUUUUUGAAGGAGAGAGAGUGAGAGACAGAGCAUGAGCAGGGGAGGAGCAGAGAGAGAGGGAGACAGAGAAUCCGAAGCAGGCUUCAGGCUCCGAGCUGUCGGCACAGAGCCUGAUGUGGGGCUUGAACUCACGAACCACGAGACCAUGACCUGAGCCGAAGUCGGAUGCCCAGCCAACUGAGCCACCCAGGCGCCCCUUCCUUGAGUACUUUCUAAUUUCUACUUAAUUCCAGUUAAUUUCUAGUUUUCCCCAUUUCUUCCCAGAUCAUAUUUCACCUCUUCCUGCUAUCUUACCAUUUUUUUCGUGAGUUCUUGCAUUUCUCUUUUGUAGUGUUCCUUCAGAGAGGAUUUUUUUCAUUGAGCCUUACAAAUUCAUAGUGAAGCGAUUGCUCAAAAUUUUCACCUGUUUCAGGGUGACUGACCUUCAUCUGUUCAUAAAUUUUGCUGUUCAUUGUUUCCUUUUUUCCUUACAGUGUCUCCAAACUCUUCUUAUAAGUUGGAUGAGUCCACCGAAAGAGGUUCCUAUAGACGGGCCUGAGGUGAAGUUGAAAUUGCGGCCAGGCUGCUUCCUGCAAAUCAGCCUUGGAGAAUAUUUAGAUCAUUCCCAAUUUUUAUUAGAGCCAAACAGUGCUGCACCGACCACACAGGACAUACAGCUCUGGGGAAACUAUGAGGAUUUCUAUAGAGGAGACACCAAGAAAUGAAGCCAUUGGGUCCCACUUCUUACUGAUGCUAACCUUUCAUCGUGUAUCAGUUAUUAUCUCCUUUAAUCCUCAUGCAAAUGAGGGACAUGGGAAUUAUUUCAUUCCUAAUUUACAGCUGAGAAAACAGAAAGAUCCAGAGUGCUAACAUUUGCCCAGGGUCCCACAACUGGCAAAAAUACCAAUAUUUUUAAUUAAAACAAAAAAGAGAAAUGGGCAGAGAAAAAGAAGCCUGUUUGGGUUUUUUUUCUCUUCUAAAAAGAAAAAUAUGUUUUCAUGUUGGAUUCAUAAUCUGUAUUCUUAAACUUUUGGAUACCGCUAGAGAAAAAUAAAUCAUCUUUUAAAAAAUG